This 232-nucleotide long non-coding RNA is filed under the name Homo sapiens (human). RNAcentral describes it as "non-protein coding lnc-MOCS3-3:1". Lineage: Eukaryota; Metazoa; Chordata; Mammalia; Primates; Hominidae. The record is from RNAcentral.
CAUGGCCAGAUCCAGCUCGCCACCUGUUUCUCUGCUGUUCCCAAGGAAGUACGGGACGGAAAUUAAAGAAGAAAGUGGUUCCACAGGUUUGGUGGCUACAAAAAGAUUUCCUCGAUAAACACUGCCCACAGUCACUCAUUUGUGAAAGCUGCAUGAUGUGAAAUUAAACUCGGGCAGAGGUGCUGUGGGUGAUGAUGUCUCGGUGGCUUGGGGAAAUGAAAGCCAUUCAUCU